AGAGUUUGAUCCUGGCUCAGAUUGAACGCUGGCGGCAUGCCUUACACAUGCAAGUCGAACGGCAGCGCGGGGCAACCUGGCGGCGAGUGGCGAACGGGUGAGUAAUAUAUCGGAACGUACCCUGGAGUGGGGGAUAACGUAGCGAAAGUUACGCUAAUACCGCAUAUGAUCUAAGGAUGAAAGUGGGGGAUCGCAAGACCUCAUGCUCCUGGAGCGGCCGAUAUCUGAUUAGCUAGUUGGCGGGGUAAAAGCCCACCAAGGCAACGAUCAGUAGCUGGUCUGAGAGGACGACCAGCCACACUGGAACUGAGACACGGUCCAGACUCCUACGGGAGGCAGCAGUGGGGAAUUUUGGACAAUGGGCGCAAGCCUGAUCCAGCAAUGCCGCGUGAGUGAAGAAGGCCUUC
RNAcentral lists this ribosomal RNA (407 nucleotides) under uncultured bacterium. Its description in RNAcentral is "bacterial SSU rRNA". It matches the Rfam family "Bacterial small subunit ribosomal RNA", at positions 8 to 419 of the family's 1533-position model. The record is from RNAcentral.